ACUUUUGGUGCUACAUCCCCCCCAAGCCUGUUAAUUUAUGUGCAUAUGGCUUGUUAGUUACUGAAACCAGCAACAAGUGUCUGAGAUGCUAUAUCUUACUUUACUGUGAGCAUAAAUGUCAAGAACAAUGGCAAGCUUUUUCCAACAGAGCCAUUUUCAUGAUUGAGGAAGUACCAGUUAUGCACCACGGUUUUACGGUCCAACUUAUCUCCGAAGUUGUUAAACGUUUCUUCCCUGCAAACAUGGAAUGGUGUCUGUUAAGGGUUAAGAAUUCUAUCGACCCUGUGAAAUUUUCAACUAAUAGCUAUCUGAUGGCCACAAUGAUGGGUAGCCAACACCCCUGAAAAAGUGCAACAUCUACAACUUUCAGUCAUGCUUAUUGCUACUAUAUAAAUUAGGUUGCACAUUUGAACUCCAAUAAGGUAUCUGGACUCUACCCUCACUGCAUAAAAUGUGCCUUUUUGCUACAGAAGACAUAACGGAAUUCUGGACUAUAUGCAAGGCAAGGUUAGUUCCUGAGCUUUGCAGUUACAAAAUUGAUAAUUGUUUGCGGGACAUUAGGAAAUUAUGCCAUUAGCCGGAACAUAUGAACUCUAGCAGAGAAAUGGGAUGAAAACUUAAGCCAGCAUUUUCACACCUGCUGUGUUUUCUAAACACUAAUGUGACAUAUUUUGGUUGGUCCGAUGUGUUCUAGCAAACAGUCAUGAUUUUAGAAUGUACAUGAGCAAAUUAUCGAUUUACAGUAUGAUCCAUCAAAUGCCAACCAAUUGAAGCGCCUGGGAGUCGUCAAUCUUGCCUAUUUUCAAUAUACAUAACUGAACAGAAUGGAA
Molecule: non-coding RNA, 830 nt
Organism: Triticum urartu
Lineage: Eukaryota; Viridiplantae; Streptophyta; Magnoliopsida; Poales; Poaceae
Source: RefSeq, a predicted model, not a curated record